Long non-coding RNA from Apis cerana (Asiatic honeybee), 1370 nucleotides. RefSeq lists it as uncharacterized. The record is from RefSeq and is a predicted model, not a curated record. NCBI's taxonomy places the organism in Eukaryota, Metazoa, Arthropoda, Insecta, Hymenoptera, Apidae.
AAAAAUUCAUCCAAUAUGCCUGUCUGACACUGCACACUGUCAGAAUACACAGGCAGCCUUAAAAUGUUAUGCAGAAGCAUGACUUUACAGCUAUUCUAUUCUAUCAUUUUUAAAUAUACAAGAAGAAGAAUUUAGUUGUGAAUAUUAAUUUAGAUGAAAAUGAUUUAAGUAUAUCAAAAGAACAUUAAUAUCAAUGUAUCAUGUAACAAGAUGAACGAGAUAAAAUAGUAAGUAUUGGUAAGAAGAUUGAUAUGAAGUAUAUGAUAAAAAAAAUGCUUUCCAAUAAAGACUCUCCAAUAUUUUUAAUUAAUUUUAUAGUUAUUAUUGAAUUAGUUAAAUUAAUUAUUUGACUUUAUCAAUGAACUUUAUCAAUUUGAUUAUCAGCAAAUUUAAUUUCAGGACAUUUAAUUUUAACAUUAUUAGGUAUUUUUAUUAGAAAUUUUAUUGCAAUAAUUCCAAUUAAUUUAUUAAUUCAAAAUACAUUAUUAACUUUAGAAAUUUUUAUAUCAAUUAUUCAAUGAUAUGUAUUUUCAAUUUUCUUAAUUUUAUAUUUUUCAGAAUCAAAUGAAUUUUAAUUAAUAAAUAAUGAAGAAAAACUUUUCAUUUAAUGUAAUCAUAAAUUGGCCAUGACCAAUUAUUUUAUCUUUUAGAUUAUUUGAAUUAACAAGAACAAUUUUUUUACUUAUAAUUUUAAAUAUAAUUAAUACCACUUUAUAAUUAUAAUAUUUUGAUUUUGUGAUAUUAUUCGAGAUAGAAUAUUUUAUUAUAAAGGAUUACAUACAUUUUUUAUUAUUAAUUUUUAAAAAUUUAGAAUAAUUUUACUUAUUUCAGAAUUAAUAUAUUUUGUAUUUUUUUUUUUUUUUUGAUUUUUUUUCAUACAUCAAUUUUCCCAAAUAUGAAAUUGGAAUUGAUAUAUUAUGAUCACCAAAAAAUAUUAAAUUUUUUAAUUCAAUAGAAAUUCCAUUAUUAAAUUCAUUUACUUUAAUUUCUCCAGGUAAGAUUUACAGUAACAUUAAGUCAUUAUUAUUUAAUUAUUAAUAAAUUAAAAUAUAGAAAAUUUUAUUUAACACAAACAAUUUUAUUAGGGAUUUAUUUUACUAUUUUAUAAACAAUUGAAUAUUUAAAUUCUUUUUUUUUUUUUUGCUUUAAUGAUAAAAUUUAUGAUUCUAUUUCUUUUUUUUAUUCAAUUUUUUUUAUAGCUAUUAGAUUUCAUGGUUUACAUGUACUAAUUGGAUCAUUUUUCUUUUAGUAUCUCCAUAUCGACUAUUAAAAAUUCAUUUUUGAAAUAAACAUAAUAUAAAUUUUGAAUUAGCCAUUUGAUAUUGACAUUUUACUGAUGUAAUUUGAUUAUUUUUAUUUAUUUAUAUUUU